AUUGAACGCUGGCGGCAGGCCUAACACAUGCGAGUCGAGCGGAUGAAGGGAGCUUGCUCCUGGAUUCAGCGGCGGACGGGUGAGUAAUGCCUAGGAAUCUGCCUGGUAGUGGGGGAUAACGUCCGGAAACGGGCGCUAAUACCGCAUACGUCCUGAGGGAGAAAGUGGGGGAUCUUCGGACCUCACGCUAUCAGAUGAGCCUAGGUCGGAUUAGCUAGUUGGUGGGGUAAAGGCCUACCAAGGCGACGAUCCGUAACUGGUCUGAGAGGAUGAUCAGUCACACUGGAACUGGGACACGGUCCAGACUCCUACGGGAGGCAGCAGUGGGGAAUAUUGGACAAUGGGCGAAAGCCUGAUCCAGCCAUGCCGCGUGUGUGAAGAAGGUCUUCGGAUUGUAAAGCACUUUAAGUUGGGAGGAAGGGCAGUAAGUUAAUACCUUGCUGUUUUGACGUUACCAACAGAAUAAGCACCGGCUAACUUCGUG
This 484-nucleotide ribosomal RNA is filed under the name uncultured bacterium. RNAcentral describes it as "partial 16S ribosomal RNA". It matches the Rfam family "Bacterial small subunit ribosomal RNA", at positions 30 to 507 of the family's 1533-position model. The record is from RNAcentral.